This is a long non-coding RNA of Vespula pensylvanica (western yellowjacket), 1519 nucleotides long. RefSeq lists it as uncharacterized. Lineage: Eukaryota; Metazoa; Arthropoda; Insecta; Hymenoptera; Vespidae. The record is from RefSeq and is a predicted model, not a curated record. The transcript is spliced from 5 exons.
UUUCCCAAAUUAAUUUACAACGAAUGAAAGAUUAAAAUAUGAGAUGGAAAGACAAUUAGGUUUUAAACAUUAUUGUAUAUUAUGUCAGAUUACAAAAUAACACAUUUUCGAUGUAAUAUUUAAAUAUAAGUCAUCUGCCGUCGAAUGAAACGAAUCUUCGUUCGUCGUUGAAGAGAACAAAAUCUUCAUGAAAUACUGCCAACUCCAUUCAAAAAGGAGUAAAAUUUCUAUUCUGUGAGAAAAUUAGCAAAGCUUCUUGAUUUCCAUUCUUACAAUCAUUAAGCAAGGACAAAAGAGAAGCUAUCUGUGAAUCCUCAAACCUGUCUGAAAAAUAAAAAAAUAAUGAGUCUGACAUUAGAAUCCAUAGACAGUAAAGUGGUUUUUAUGGUAUAAAAUCUUUCUAUAAGACUUGGCAUGUUUUUGGCUGCAUAUACUUUUGGCAUACUAAAAUAAUACCAGGUUUAACAGAAUUGAUUUUGCAAAGAUGGAAAGCAUACCCCCACAGGAAUAUAUCUUAUGUUAAAAUCCUCCAAAAAAAUACUAUCUACGGAUCUACAGAAAUUCAUUAAAGUCAAUUAUUUUUAUGGGGUCCGGUAUAACGUAUAUCCCUAAUUGAAUUAUCUCCAGAUUUUCAAAGGAAAACAGGAAGGGUUGUCGCAGCGAAGGGUACAUCAGCUGCUUGUUUAAAUGCUCCGCUCUAAAGUAUAAAUGGGCCUAUCGGAGGAUUAACCCUUUGAUGAUAUAAAAGAGAAAUUGGAGAGGUUAAAAGAUCCACUUCCCCUAGAAUGGGGAAAGCUCUCCAACAGACUAAUUAGAUCAAAGCGGAGAGACAAACGAUGGCAAAUACAUGAUGAAAGGUGGUGAACAUUUGAGUAGACGCUAAAAUCACUUUGAUUUCUAUUUGGCAAUAUUAUUCAAUUAAUUUGGGAAUAAUAGCCGUCCAUUCGAACGAUGAUGAAUAAAUGAAUGGAAAAAUUGCGCUAAGCGAACAAAAUUGAACACCACAUUGCCAUUGAUUAAUGGUCAUGGAAACACAAUGUCAGACAUUAAAAAAAAACUUACAAAAACAGCAACAAUUGGUAAAAUUACGAUUGCUAAGAAACAAGUUUGAGGAACGGCAACACACGCAGCGUCUAUACAUUACGUUGCAGGAUCUGGAAAAUAUUAAUCCUCAAGCUGUAGGGAAAGAAGUAAAUGAAUAACAAUACCAAAUACAUCUCGAAUCCGGCUGCUAUUUUAAUGGAUCAAAAUACGAGUUCGUUUUUACGUUAUCAAGAGACUUUUCUUCCAGCGCUACGUUCUUAUGGUUUGCUCUGCAGGAGUUUCCGUUACAUUCUGCAUAUUAUUUUUGACAAAACAGUCGACAAAGUUUUAGUUUUCUCUCACAGAUUUACUAAUCUUAUCUAUAAUAUUACGCAUAUUUAUUGUAUUCUAUGUAUUUAUCAAGAAACAAAUUUUUGUAAUCUAUCGUAUAUCUGCGUAUUGCAACUACAUGUAUUUUGAUGUACUUUGAUGUGAA